RNAcentral lists this ribosomal RNA (447 nucleotides) under uncultured bacterium. RNAcentral's name for it is "bacterial SSU rRNA". It matches the Rfam family "Bacterial small subunit ribosomal RNA", at positions 331 to 792 of the family's 1533-position model. The record is from RNAcentral.
CCAGACUCCUACGGGAGGCAGCAGUGGGGAAUAUUGGACAAUGGGGGGAACCCUGAUCCAGCGACGCCGCGUGAGUGAAGAAGUAUUUCGGUAUGUAAAGCUCUAUCAGCAGGGAAGAAAGAAAUGACGGUACCUGACUAAGAAGCCCCGGCUAACUACGUGCCAGCAGCCGCGGUAAUACGUAGGAGGCAAGCGUUAUCCGGAAUGACUGGGCGUAAAGGGUGCGUAGGUGGUUUGGCAAGUUGGUAGCGUAAUCCCGGGGCUCAACCUCGGUGCUACUACCAAAACUGUUGAACUUGAGUGCAGGAGGGGUGAAUGGAAUUCCCAGUGUAGCGGUGGAAUGCGUAGAUAUUGGGAAGAACACCAGCGGCGAAGGCGAUUCACUGGACUGUAACUGACACUGAGGCACGAAAGCGUGGGUAGCAAACAGGAUUAGAUACCCUCGUA